UGUGGUGCGUGCCUGGUCUCAGGCCUAUCCGAAGAUCGGAAAUAAUGAGCUCAGAGCUCGUUCCGUAGGGUAACGUCUGGCUGUCUCGUCAGAGACUGCAGCAGAUCAAACAGUGAAACACACACGACAGUCAUGGAAAGAGUUUUGCCGUGCCCACUACCGCUGCUGCUGCUGUUGCUGCUGCUGGCGCUAAGUCCAGGAUGGGCACCAAGCUCCACUCUGGCCCAGAACUGCAGUGCUGCUGACGCAGUAGUGAAGGAAGGACAAACACAGGUCAUCAACACCACACAGGUUAUCCUGGACGCUGAACGAUAUGUUUAUGAAGCCAGGAAGUGACUUUGAGGGCGUCCAUCUUGAUGUGCAGGCGAGUAACGGCACCCACCUCACUGCCUGGUUCCCUGCCGAGGAGGAAUGUUUCCCGUGGGAUGGCACGUGGCUGCAGUACAAGGCACGAGCAUGAAAAACCAAGACUGGGCUUUAUUUGGGCUUUAUGUGUGGUAGAUGCUGGAAGGAGUGCUGGAUCAAGGCUUUCCGGCUAAGCCUCAAGAGUCAUAGCGUGGUGGCUCACGGCCCGUCCAGAUGGAGAACAGAAAAGCCACCCAAAGGCUGCAGCGUCACCAUGAUGAAGCUUUCCCGCCGCGACCAACUGCUCGCCUGCCAGCAGCCUCCCUCCACCACCGCCAGCGUCACCACCACCAUCACCACCACCACCGCCACCACCACCACCAACACCAUCCCCACCGCCACUACCACCACUACUACCGACACCACCACCACCGCCACCACAGACAUCACCGACACCACCACCACAACCACCACCACUACGACUUCAGGGACGCUUUGGACUACUAAGCUGACACAGGACAACAUAAUAACCAUCUAACCAUCGCGGCGUCAGCAGCAGCAGUGUUAUUGUUGUUGCUAAUAGUGCUGGUGGUGGCGGCGGUCUGUAAGGCCGCUGUCACAUAGAGAUAUACUAUAAGGCAGGGGCAGGCAACCUUUUUAGAGUGAGUGCCAGAUGAGACUCUUGGAAGGAGGUCGCGGGCCGGAGUGAAAAACGAAAUCUCAGACAAAUGCAUGGAAUACUAUAGUAAUAAAAGAAAACGUAUGCACACACGACUACUACUACAACUACUACUACUAAUAAUAAUAAUAAUCAUAAUAAUAAUAAUAAUAAUGAAAUGUAAAGUAAUUCAAUAGUAUAAUUUAUUCAUUUAAAAACUUAAAAUUUAUUAGAGUUUCUUCUCUACUUUUAGUGGGAGGUCCGCGGGCCGGAUUGCAUUAAUAAAGCCUAGCAGGGUGGCGGGCCGGACGCUAAGCCUUCGCGGGCCGGAUGUGGCCCACGGGCCGGAGGUUGCCCGCCCCUGCUAUAAGGGUGAUCGAUCAGGUUCUGAAAUGUGGUGUGGAGCUCCCCCAACUCAGGUCUCAUUUGGAAGUGCUGUCGUACCCAUGCCCUUCUUUUCUUCACAUGUGUCUCCUCAGCCUCCAUCAGUAAAAGAAGAGCCAAAUCUUCUUCUGAAGAAUCCAUGUUGACGGCACCCAAAAGAAUCAAAUGGGGUGAAGUUCCAGUCCCCGCCUAUCGUGGCCAGCCGCCCCCUGCAGUCCAUAUCUGGUCAGGAAAACUUCUCAGACCAAGACCAGGAAGGCUUUUAUUACCAAAUCCUGUCUGACCGCUCAGCACGCAGAGUGGCGGUGCCGCAGCCUACACAAUCUGAGCCUACCGCCCCUUGCAGGCUGCAGCCCACCGCCGAUGAGAGGCACAUCCCAGACCAGGACGGACCACACACAUCUAUUACGAAAUCCUGCCUGAACUCUCAGCACGCCGAGUGGUGUUUCUUCGGCCUGCACUGCACUCCACGCAACCCUUGCAUGGCGAGACACUGCCUCAAUACGCCGCGCUGCCUCGCUAACCUUUUUACGAGAACGUGCCUCCUACUGGUGGCAGCGCCUCCCUUCACGGGCACCUGGAGAAUCCGGAAGUCCGUGAGUCACACCUCUACGCCACGGUGCUGUAGGCAGUCAGCAUCAUGCACUGCUGAGUGGAAUAUACAACCGCAAGACUGUAAGGAAAUUCAUUUGUGUGUUCUGUAAAGGAACAUCAUGUAUAAGCAGCAUGUUAACUUACCGUCACGCCAGGAAUCUCUCUCUCUCUUUCCCCCCACUCUCUCUCUCUCUCUCUCUCUCUCUCUCUCUCUCUCUCUCUCUCUCUCUCUCUCUCUCUCUCUCUCUCUCUCUCUGACUGGUUUUAAUUAAAGCAUAACACUCGUGAAUUUCUUUUCUCUCAAAUCUCUAGUCACAAGUUCAUGAAG
This 2309-nucleotide long non-coding RNA is filed under the name Portunus trituberculatus (swimming crab). Its description in RNAcentral is "uncharacterized LOC123506624". The record is from RNAcentral. Lineage: Eukaryota; Metazoa; Arthropoda; Malacostraca; Decapoda; Portunidae.